Molecule: long non-coding RNA, 447 nt
Organism: Phasianus colchicus (ring-necked pheasant)
Lineage: Eukaryota; Metazoa; Chordata; Aves; Galliformes; Phasianidae
Source: RefSeq, a predicted model, not a curated record
CUCGGCGAUUCCCGCCCGCGGCGCUGCCGGAGCCGGGUCCGCUGCCCGCGGGACGCUCCGGGGGGCGGCCGCCAUCUUUGCCCGGAGCCGCCGGCUGCACCGACCGCCGCCGCUGCUGCUCUGAAGUUUUUCCUGUAUUCCCACCGAAAUCCCCAGGAGUUCACAUCAUAUCCUGCAAACCUGAGUGCACGUGGGGAAUGCUGAGGUUGUACCACAUCAGUGCUGCUGCAGAAACGUCAGAUUUUCUUCUGCCGGUCACUGCUUUCAUUGAAAAGCAACCAUCUUCCACUGAUAAACAAAAGAAGCACAUGGCAGUUGCUGUGUAAGGCCAAUAAAAUAAUCAGAAGUCCUUUGUGAAAAUACAGCCUUUGGUCCUUCAGAAGUCCAUACGUUGGCAUAGCAACACAGGUCCUGCUGUGCUCCCAGGGGUGCACGGCCCCCAGCUCA